GAAUCAAGUGAUGACAUGGAAUACUGCAACAAAAUGAUGGCUUUGAUUCCAUGAUUACCAGUAUUUAAGUCUCUGAUGAUU
Molecule: small nucleolar RNA, 81 nt
Organism: Neltuma alba
Lineage: Eukaryota; Viridiplantae; Streptophyta; Magnoliopsida; Fabales; Fabaceae
Product: small nucleolar RNA Z199
Exons: 1
Source: RefSeq, a predicted model, not a curated record